UACGGAGGGUGCAAGCGUUGUCCGGAAUCACUGGGCGUAAAGGGCGCGUAGGCGGCUCAUGAAGGCUGUGGUGAAAGUCCGGGGCUCAACCUCGGAUCGGCCGUGGCGACUCGUGGGCUGGAGCACUGUAGAGGCGGGUGGAAUUCCGGGUGUAGCGGUGGAAUGCGUAGAGAUCCGGAAGAACACCAGUGGCGAAGGCAGCUCGCUGGGACGUGACUGACGCUGAGACGCGAAAGCGUGGGGAGCAAACAGG
Molecule: ribosomal RNA, 253 nt
Filed under: uncultured bacterium
Lineage: Bacteria
Description: partial 16S ribosomal RNA
Rfam family: Bacterial small subunit ribosomal RNA
Source: RNAcentral